This 484-nucleotide ribosomal RNA is filed under the name uncultured bacterium. RNAcentral's name for it is "partial 16S ribosomal RNA". It matches the Rfam family "Bacterial small subunit ribosomal RNA", at positions 29 to 507 of the family's 1533-position model. The record is from RNAcentral.
AUUGAACGCUGGCGGCAUGCUUUACACAUGCAAGUCGAACGGCAGCGCGGGCUUCGGCCUGGCGGCGAGUGGCGAACGGGUGAGUAAUACAUCGGAACGUGCCCCGUAGUGGGGGAUAGCUCGGCGAAAGCCGGAUUAAUACCGCAUACGACCUGAGGGUGAAAGCGGGGGAUCUUCGGACCUCGCUCUAUUGUAGCGGCCGAUGGCAGAUUAGCUAGUUGGUGGGGUAAAGGCCUACCAAGGCGACGAUCUGUAGCUGGUCUGAGAGGACGACCAGCCACACUGGGACUGAGACACGGACCAGACUCCUACGGGAGGCAGCAGUGGGGAAUGUUGGACAAUGGGCGAAAGCAUGAUCCAGCAAGGCCGCGUGUGUGAUGAAGGCCUUCGGGUUGUAAAGAACUUUUGGCGGGAACGAAAAGGACUGUGCCAAGAACAAGGUUAGAUGACGGUACCCGCAGAAUAAGCACCGGCUAACUACGUG